CCUACGGGGCGCAGCAGUGAGGAAUAUUGGUCAAUGGCCGAGAGGCUGAACCAGCCAAGUCGCGUGAGGGAUGACGGCCCUACGGGUUGUAAACCUCUUUUGUCGGGGAGCAAAGAGAGUCACGUGUGGCUCAUUGAGAGUACCCGAAGAAAAAGCAUCGGCUAACUCCGUGCCAGCAGCCGCGGUAAUACGGAGGAUGCGAGCGUUAUCCGGAUUUAUUGGGUUUAAAGGGUGCGCAGGCGGCACGGCAAGCCGGCGGUCAAAUCGCGGGGCUCAACCCUGCCCAGCCGUCGGAACUGCCGGGC
RNAcentral lists this ribosomal RNA (305 nucleotides) under uncultured bacterium. RNAcentral describes it as "bacterial SSU rRNA". It matches the Rfam family "Bacterial small subunit ribosomal RNA", at positions 338 to 641 of the family's 1533-position model. The record is from RNAcentral.